RNAcentral lists this non-coding RNA (30 nucleotides) under Mus musculus (house mouse). The record is from RNAcentral. Lineage: Eukaryota; Metazoa; Chordata; Mammalia; Rodentia; Muridae.
UGGGUCUAUGUGAUUUUCCUAGAGUAGUCC